Molecule: ribosomal RNA, 676 nt
Filed under: uncultured bacterium
Lineage: Bacteria
Description: bacterial SSU rRNA
Rfam family: Bacterial small subunit ribosomal RNA
Source: RNAcentral
AGAGUUUGAUCCUGGCUCAGGACGAACGCUGGCGGUGUGCUUCACACAUGCAAGUCGAGCGAAUGAAGUAGGUAGCUUGCUACUUAUGGAUUUAGCGGCGGACGGGUGAGUAAUAUAUAGGAAUCUGCCUUAGAGCGGGGAACAACAGACCGAAAGGUUUGCUAAUGCCCCAUAGGUAUGCAGUCUUCGGAUUGUAUAUUAAAGGAGUAAUCCACUCUAAGAUGAGCCUGUAUCCGAUUAGCUAGUUGGCGGGGUAAAGGCCCACCAAGGCUACGAUCGGUAGUUGGUCUGAGAGGAUGAUCAGCCACAAUGGGACUGAGACACGGCCCAUACUCCUACGGGAGGCAGCAGUGGGGAAUUUUACACAAUGGGGGAAACCCUGAUGUAGCGACACCGCGUGAACGAAGAAGCCUUUUGGGGUGUAAAGUUCUGUCGGCUGGAACGAAAAAAAUGACGGUACCAGCAAAGGAAGCAUCGGCUAACUACGUGCCAGCAGCCGCGGUAAGACGUAGGAUGCAAGCGUUGUCCGGAUUUAUUGGGCGUAAAGAGUUCGUAGGCGGUUAUUUAAGUCUGAUGUUAAAUACUGUGGCCCAACCACAGAACUGCAUUGGAUACUGGAUGACUUGAGUGCGGUAGAAGCAAGUGGAAUUCCCAGUGUAGCGGUGAAAUGCGUAGA